Peromyscus leucopus (white-footed mouse) is the source of this 872-nucleotide long non-coding RNA. RefSeq lists it as uncharacterized. Lineage: Eukaryota; Metazoa; Chordata; Mammalia; Rodentia; Cricetidae. The record is from RefSeq and is a predicted model, not a curated record. The transcript has 3 exons.
CAAACCAGCAUAGUGGACAACUUGUAGCCUCUCUCCUACCACCACGUGUGUCCUGGAGAUAGAACUCAUGCUGGUGGGCUGGGCAGCAGGUGCCUUUACCCACUGAGCCACUGCGUCUCUGUGCCCAUUUCCAGGUGGAGAUUUAAUUCCCAAGGAGAAAAGCAGCAAUCUGGAGAGUUCAGCUCUGCGAAUGUACCCCACUGCUGCCCUCACCUCACCUGCCAGACCGGGCUGCGCCCAUUCCAGAAAGUCCCACAACUAGACUGACACAGGACUCAUCCUUCCUCAGACCAUCCUUCCUUUAGUGUCCCGGGGUAGCCACCUGCACAUUAUCUUCAAAGAAAGGCAUCUGAUAUGUGAAGCACCUCACUUGGAUGUGUCUGGAGUCUUGGCCACCUACGUCCUCCCACAAAUGGACUUGAUGAUUCAUUUGGAGGUUCCUGUUGGGUCACAGCCACUUGAAUACCCCAGACUGAACAAUGGGCCUCCUAACAGAGGGUCUGGAACCAACUAAGAGACAUGCCUCUGGGUGGAUCUGUGAGGCCAUUUCCAGGAAGGACUGCCAAGGGGAGAAGACCCUUUUCCAAAGUGGGUGGCACCAGAUGUAAAGAGGUCUGAGAAAAAAAAAAAAGCAGUGCUGGUAGCCUGCUUGUUCCCUGCUUGCUCGUGAGUGGAUUCAUCCCAUUGUGUUCCAUUAUUGUGGCCACCAUCCUUCCUCCACGCCAAAACACAGCUUCUUUCAGCAUUGGAUGAGGACCAGCAGUCUUUCGAUUUACUUUCUUUAGUUUUUUUUUUUUUAAAUAAUGUCUUAUGGUUUUGACUAUAUAAGCCAUGUGCUUCUUUUAUUUAUUUGCAAGUGUUAUCCUUUUUGA